Molecule: long non-coding RNA, 1231 nt
Filed under: Marmota monax (woodchuck)
Lineage: Eukaryota; Metazoa; Chordata; Mammalia; Rodentia; Sciuridae
Source: RNAcentral
CAGCUCUCAGGCCAACUCAUCAAACCUAGGUCUUGAGGGAAGAAAGCUCCUGUCUCUCGCAGCCCAGCUUCUCACGGAAAAACCCCCGGUUUCCAGUUCUGGGGUUUCCCAGCACAGAGCAACACUGCAGUUGGAAGCUCCUGCGGGUCAAAGAAUGUCUUCGGACCAGGGAAAGGCAAUAAGCCACCCACGUGCACGACUCCUUGGGGGGUCCUAGGAACAAGAUAGAGACAGCAAAGGGAUACAAAUAUGUAACAUUAAUUUAGCACCUACAGUGUCCAGGUAGAGAUUUCAUCUCAGUUAGCUCCUUUAUCCUUUAGACAAUCAAACAGCAGCUCCCAAUCCAGUCUGCACAGAGAACUUGUAAACAUGGUCAGGGGAUCUGGUUUCAUUGUUCUGGGUGGGCCGCUGGCAUAGUACUCCGUAAAUAUCCCCAGGGCAUUCGAAUGAGCAGCCAGGGGUGAGAAGUGGGGACUUAAGCAAUGCUUCUCAAACUUCCAUGUGCCUAGGAGUCAAUCUCUUGGAUCUUAUUAAAAUAUACAUUCCAAUUCAGCAGGGCUGUGCUUCUGCUUUUCUAACCAGUUCUCAGGCAAUGCCCAAUCUGCCUGCCCUUGAACCAGACUUUGAAGAGCAAGGGCGUAGCCCAUAACCUCCAAGGCAGCGAAGGCUGUUUGGUUCAUUGCUGGAUGCUUCUACCUCCAACAGUGCGUGAGCCAAGUAGCCUCAGAAUAAAUAUUUGCCAAAGGUGUAAAGAAAUGAAAGAGGCUUAGAGGCAGGCGUGGCUGGCUAUGGUUUGAGCUGGGGGCGUGUAUGCAAGAAGUUACUUAGUACCUCCUUCACUCUGAUUCUCACCUGAAAGAUGAGAGCGAUGAUAUUUUUAAUUCCAAAGGAGGAUUAAAUGAGAUAAUGUGCAGACUGGUUGUAGGGGUAUUAAAAGGAUUGUUUAAUUUUUUAGGUAUGAUAGUAGAUCAUUUUUUUGACCAGAAGUAAGACAUAGUGAAGUAUUUACAGGUGAAAUGACACAGUGUCUGGGGUUGGCUUUAGAUAUUCCAGCUGAGAGGGAGAGAGGGAAGAAGACAGAGAAGGAGGAAGAAGAAGACGAAAGAAAGAAGGGAGGAUGGUGAAAACACAGCAAUGUCCGUCAACACUAAAAUUGGGGACGGACACAGGAGGUCCAUCCCUAUUCUAUUUUUACCUACAUUUGAACAUUUCCACAAUAAAAGGUUAACAA